RNAcentral lists this ribosomal RNA (430 nucleotides) under Pseudomonadota bacterium. RNAcentral describes it as "Proteobacteria bacterium partial 16S ribosomal RNA". It matches the Rfam family "Bacterial small subunit ribosomal RNA", at positions 355 to 776 of the family's 1533-position model. The record is from RNAcentral. Lineage: Bacteria; Pseudomonadati; Pseudomonadota.
UGGGGAAUAUUGGACAAUGGGCGGAAGCCUGAUCCAGCCAUGCCGCGUGUGUGAAGAAGGCCUUUUGGUUGUAAAGCACUUUAAGCGAGGAGGAGGGUACUGGUAUUAAUACUACCAGCUACUGGACGUUACUCGCAGAAUAAGCACCGGCUAACUCUGUGCCAGCAGCCGCGGUAAUACAGAGGGUGCGAGCGUUAAUCGGAUUUACUGGGCGUAAAGCGUGCGUAGGCGGCUAAUUGAGUCGGAUGUGAAAUCCCCGAGCUUAACUUGGGAAUUGCAUUCGAUACUGGUUAGCUAGAGUGUGGGAGAGGAUGGUAGAAUUCCAGGUGUAGCGGUGAAAUGCGUAGAGAUCUGGAGGAAUACCGAUGGCGAAGGCAGCCAUCUGGCCUAACACUGACGCUGAGGUACGAAAGCAUGGGGAGCAAACAGG